Molecule: ribosomal RNA, 693 nt
Filed under: Triticum aestivum (bread wheat)
Lineage: Eukaryota; Viridiplantae; Streptophyta; Magnoliopsida; Poales; Poaceae
Description: partial small subunit ribosomal RNA
Source: RNAcentral
AUGUCGCGGACAACUUGCAGCUGCCCCCCAAAGAAGUGUUUCCAAGGCACUUGUGACUGUUUAAUAGGGAUUGAGUUAUGCUAUUCGGGAUGCAACUGCAGUGCUGACUGCCAGAACGGCUUAUCUCUUGGAACAAUCAACCCGGCUGCUGCCCAAGGUACCACCCCAACGCUUGCCUCUGGCUCUUCUGCUGCCCAAGAUACUGCUCAAACGCAACCGCUUGCCCCGAGCUCUUCUACUGCCCAAGGUAUCGCUCAACCACAUCCACUUGCCCCGAGCUCUUCUACUGCGGCCGUGCCAAAGCCAGAGGCAGUUGGUGGGCGGGUGAAGUGCAACUGCAGCUUUACCAAAUGCCUAAACUGCCAAUGCACAUGUUUCAGGGAGGGUUUGAGUUGCAUGAUGGGACGCUGCAAGUGCUAUGACUGCGAGAACAACCCAGAUUGGCUGGCCGACGAGGAUUACGUGGAGUGCGCGUGCAAAACCAAAAAUUGCAAAACCAGAGCCUGCGGUUGCAACAAGUUGGUUCUUGAUUUGAAGAAACUGAAAGGGUGUAACCCAAAUUGCACGUGCAUAGGGUGCGAGAAUCAGUACGGGAUGAAAGGGGCUGAUAAGUCCAAUGCUGGACCGGGAGGUACGGGUGGCACAAGUGACGCCGGAGGCUCGGGUUCCAACAAGCAAAUAAGAAUCGGGUGA